ACCAGAGUUUCAUCCUUUCUGGAAUCUUAGAAUCAGAAGUGGGCAGGUUGAGGAACCACCGAGCCCAAUCUCUUCCCUUUGUAGGCAGGGAACAUGUGGCUGCCCAGGACAUAGCCUGUCAAUUCUGCCCCAGGAUAAGGAGGAGGUUUCCUCUGAAGACUCAAGAAGGCCUUACAGCUCCAUUUCCAGUUUCCCGAAGAGAAGACCCCCUGGCUUCUACAGCACAGGAUCAAGGCACAGAGGGGUGAAGAUUAUCUUAUGCCAGGCUCCCAGGAAACGUGGGUUUCCUGAUAGCUCAGAUGUGAUCUUAAAAGCCAGAGCUCAAUGAGCAGCGAGCGACUAAAGCACUUGGAAUUCCUUCAUUCAAACACACUAUCAAAGGGGCCUCGGAGCAUAUUGCUUGUG
This 405-nucleotide long non-coding RNA is filed under the name Mus spicilegus (steppe mouse). Its description in RNAcentral is "lncRNA (ENSMSIG00000005566.1)". Lineage: Eukaryota; Metazoa; Chordata; Mammalia; Rodentia; Muridae. The record is from RNAcentral.